This 1349-nucleotide ribosomal RNA is filed under the name metagenome. RNAcentral's name for it is "bacterial SSU rRNA". It matches the Rfam family "Bacterial small subunit ribosomal RNA", at positions 191 to 1520 of the family's 1533-position model. The record is from RNAcentral.
UCUGUGAGCAGGAAAGCAGGGGACCGCAAGGCCUUGCGCUCUUUGAGCGGCCAAUGUCAGAUUAGCUAGUUGGUGAGGUAACGGCUUACCAAGGCGACGAUCUGUAGCGGGUCUGAGAGGAUGAUCCGCCACACUGGAACUGAGACACGGUCCAGACUCCUACGGGAGGCAGCAGUGGGGAAUUUUGGACAAUGGGGGCAACCCUGAUCCAGCCAUGCCGCGUGAGUGAAGAAGGCCUUCGGGUUGUAAAGCUCUUUCGGCCGGGAAGAAAUCGCAUGGGCCAAUACCCUGUGUGGAUGACGGUACCGGAAUAAGAAGCACCGGCUAACUACGUGCCAGCAGCCGCGGUAAUACGUAGGGUGCGAGCGUUAAUCGGAAUUACUGGGCGUAAAGCGUGCGCAGGCGGUUUUGUAAGACAGGCGUGAAAUCCCCGGGCUCAACCUGGGAACUGCGUUUGUGACUGCAAGGCUAGAGUACGGCAGAGGGGGGUGGAAUUCCACGUGUAGCAGUGAAAUGCGUAGAGAUGUGGAGGAACACCAAUGGCGAAGGCAGCCCCCUGGGUCGAUACUGACGCUCAUGCACGAAAGCGUGGGUAGCAAACAGGAUUAGAUACCCUGGUAGUCCACGCCCUAAACUAUGUCAACUAGGUGUUGGGUGGGUAAAACCAUUUAGUACCGUAGCUAACGCGUGAAGUUGACCGCCUGGGGAGUACGGCCGCAAGGUUAAAACUCAAAGGAAUUGACGGGGACCCGCACAAGCGGUGGAUGAUGUGGAUUAAUUCGAUGCAACGCGAAAAACCUUACCUACCCUUGACAUGCCAGGAACUUGCCAGAGAUGGCUUGGUGCCCGAAAGGGAGCCUGGACACAGGUGCUGCAUGGCUGUCGUCAGCUCGUGUCGUGAGAUGUUGGGUUAAGUCCCGCAACGAGCGCAACCCUUGUCGUUAAUUGCCAUCAUUUAGUUGGGCACUUUAGCGAGACUGCCGGUGACAAACCGGAGGAAGGUGGGGAUGACGUCAAGUCCUCAUGGCCCUUAUGGGUAGGGCUUCACACGUCAUACAAUGGUCGGUACAAAGGGUCGCCAAGCCGCGAGGUGGAGCCAAUCCCAGAAAGCCGAUCGUAGUCCGGAUUGCAGGCUGCAACUCGCCUGCAUGAAGUCGGAAUCGCUAGUAAUCGUGGAUCAGCAUGUCACGGUGAAUACGUUCCCGGGUCUUGUACACACCGCCCGUCACACCAUGGGAGCGGGUUCCGCCAGAAGUAGGUAGCCUAACCGCAAGGAGGGCGCUUACCACGGCGGGGUUCGUGACUGGGGUGAAGUCGUAACAAGGUAGCCGUAGGGGAACCUGCGGCUG